UACAGAGGUCCCAAGCGUUGUUCGGAAUUACUGGGCGUAAAGGGCUCGUAGGCGGCCAACUAAGUCAUACGUGAAAUCCCUCGGCUUAACCGGGGAACUGCGUCUGAUACUGGAUGGCUUGAGUUCGGGAGAGGGAUGCGGAAUUCCAGGUGUAGCGGUGAAAUGCGUAGAUAUCUGGAGGAACACCGGUGGCGAAGGCGGCAUCCUGGACCGAUACUGACGCUGAGGAGCGAAAGCCAGGGGAGCAAACGGG
Molecule: ribosomal RNA, 253 nt
Filed under: uncultured bacterium
Lineage: Bacteria
Description: partial 16S ribosomal RNA
Rfam family: Bacterial small subunit ribosomal RNA
Source: RNAcentral